Molecule: RNA transcript, 5311 nt
Organism: Hypanus sabinus (Atlantic stingray)
Lineage: Eukaryota; Metazoa; Chordata; Chondrichthyes; Myliobatiformes; Dasyatidae
Exons: 4
Source: RefSeq, a predicted model, not a curated record
GGGACACUACUUCGGCCUGGCGAACUAUCUCUUAGAUGCUGCAAGCAACAGGCGACUUUGAAAAUCCCAGGAGUUUACCAACAGUGAGCGAAUUGUGGAAGUCCUUCAACAUCAGAUAUGCCAUCAACAACAUUGAUGAAUCAUGGAAAAAGGUCAGGUCUUCCACUCUCAAUAGAGUGUGUAAAUCAAUUUGGGCGGAGUGUGUGCACACCCUCAAAGGAUUUCCUGCCUUCACUGCAGUUAUCCAGGAUUGUGUGACCCUGAGCGGUAAAAUUGGUGGGGAAGGAUUCUCAGAUCUCGAGAUUACUGACGUGGCAGAACUCCUGGAUACUCAUGAUGAAGAAUUAAGUGCGGAUGACUUUCUUCAUUUAACUCAGACUGAAGGCGAUAACAAUGAAGAGGAAAGUGUCGAGUUGCAGGUGAAGAACUUUACGGUGAAGCAACUGGCAGUAUUUUUUAAGGCUGCGGAACACUUGGCACAAAUGGCAAUGGACAUGGACCCAAGUUUAGAACGGAGUCAGCAUUUCAGUCAAUCCUUCUUCCCUACAAGCAAACUUAUGCUGAAAAACAAAAUGCUGCCAAGCAAACAACCCUCAGCACCUUCUUCAAACCGGUGUCAUCUCCUGCUGCCGGCAGUACUAAGCAUUCUGUGAGUCUUCUUUCACCCCUUGCUGUCCUUGAUGAUCCUGACGACCCACAACCAUCCACCUUAUCCAUGUAAAGCUGCCCGACACCACAACAAUCACUCAUCUCGAGCCAACAUACCUGCCACUGUUGAAACAGCAAUGAAGAGUCCUUCUACAUCUGAAUGCAAUGGUAUUCCUGAUUCUCCACCCCGGACUUGCAUGACUGACAGUAGAGAAAACGAAGUGACUGACAUGAUGAAGGAAGUCCUGAACACCACCAGAGAUGAAGGACAUUCAUUGCUGCCCUAAAUGCCAGCGGUGUGCCAGACAGAUAGCUGGAAACGUAUAAGGAUAUUUGAUCAACAGCAGCACUCAAAAACUGCGGCUCUGUGCAGUGCUGUGUUACCGUUCCUGGAGCUCACUGAUCAGCCGUGUUUCAGUAUGCCCAGGUGUAGCCUAAAAUCAGGCGACCUCUGAGCCUUGCAUGGCCCUGUGGAUAUAAAUUCUCACCAGUGUCACGAACUGAAGCGUAAAGGGGAUACACACAUCAAGUGAAAGUGGCUGUCAGAGAGCUCAGCACUUGGGAUCGAUCGCUCUCUCUUUCUCGAGAUGGUGAGGGGUCUGCUGCCGAUUCUCAAGUCUGGAAUCUUAAAAUAAGAGACAAUGCUUCAGACCAGACUGACCAUAACAUCAAAGUAGUGACUGCUUGUCUCCCGUCUCGCUGUGAAAUGAGCGUUAUGUCUCUCCAUUGUUAGAGAGAGAGAGAGAGAGAGAGAGAGAGCCUGUGGGAUGCCAAAAUUUUGGAGUGAACGGUUAGUUUUUGAGGUACUGUAGACCAUGGUCUCUCCCUGGGGUCUUUGCUAUUAUUUGCAUGCUGGAAACACUGAUGCUUUACACCAGAAUAAACAUGUCAGCAGAGUUGAUUAAAUGUAAUUAGAGUCUCAUUGCUGAGUGUAUCCUCAGAAAAGUCUCAAUAUUAUUUCUUCAGCCUACCACAGACUUGAAAAGAUAUCACUGCUGGGUAUUCAUCUGGUCCUUUGAUCUGUCUGCUUCAAGCAUCCAGCUCUCAGAUGUAUACAGAUGGCCAGGGAUCACUGCAUUCCAGCAGAUGAGGACUUCUGUCCCAGCUAUGAUCUUCAAACACACUUUCUCAGAUGACUAAAGGCAAUGCUGGUCCGCUGAAGGGAAGCUGGGUUUUCGCAUUCAUUUAGCUUUUCUAAGAAUUGGAUCAUAAGAUGCGGGAAUUGAUCCACAUUUUCCAUGGCCUCAUUGUCAGAAAUGAUUCUACAUCCUAUGGACUCACUUUCAUGAACUCUACAAACUCAUGUUCUCAGUAUUAUACUUUAAUGCUUCUUUUUUGUAUUUGCACGGAGUCUUUUGCACAUUAUUGUUUAUUGAUUAUGUUGUAUUUGUUUGCUCCACCUUGAAAGGCUGCAAGAAAAUAACCUCAGGAUAGUAUACAGUGACAUAUACAUACUUUAAUAAUAGAUUUAUUUUGAAGUUAGUAUUGUACAGUAGGAGCAAGUUGGUACGAAAGUUUUGUUUGUGGAUCUUAAAAGGUAGCCCAUUCUCUCAUCUUUCAAGGAAAUAUUUUGCUCAGCCUCAUCACAACUCCUGACCAACAAGAAACAAGAAAAAUCCAACAGAAAUGUGGGAAGCUGCAACAACAUGUAGCGAUUAGCAUUACAGUUUACAGUGCCACCGAUCACAAUGAGGGUUCAAUUCCCAUGGCUCUCUGUAACAAGUCUGCAUGCUCCCCCCCCCCACCCCCCAUGACCACGUGGGUUUGCUCGGGUGCUCCAGUUUCCAAAGACAGACAAGUUACGGUCAGUAAGUUGUAGGCAUGCUGUCUUGGCACAGGAAGCAAAGCAACAUUUGCAGAUGCGCCCAGCACAUCCUCAGACUGUCGUUGAUGCAAAUGGCACAUUUCUUUGUAUAUUUAAUAAUAAGAAUUAAAAAAUACAUUUAGCAAUAAUAAUAUAUGAACUAAUAAUAUAUACAAUAAUUAACCAAUGUGCAUAACGUGCAAUAGUAAUGCACAAAAUAAUAAAACAGAGACUGAUGUACUAUGAUGUGUGUUCCCCUGUCACACAAAGAUGAACUGUUGUAUAUGCUUAUUGCAUUUGGUAGGAAAGAUUUUCUGUAACCAUCCUUGUGACAGGGGAGCUGAAUGAGCCUGAUUGAAAGGGUGGUCUGUUCCUUUAUUCAGUAGGUCGUGGAGGGGGUGUGCCAGACUUUCCAUGAUGGAUAACAGUUUGUUUAGUGACCUCUCCAACACUAACUCAAGAGUCUGGUUUGGAGCCAGGGACGGAUCCAGCCUUUCUGAUGAGUUUACUUGGUCUUUCUGCACCACCAGCAUCGAGCUACUCCCCCAAUAUAAAGCAGCAAAGAAGGCUGCAUUCACUACAACAGACUUGUAAAAGAUCUCCAGCAUUCAGGAGCAGAUGAUUCCUCCCUCACCACUCCACAAACUUGUCCACCAGUUCUCCCGACUUUUACUACUGACCAUCUCUGAUACACUAACCACUAUGGGGUCAUCAGAGAACUUCUGCAAGUGACGAGACUCAGAUUUGUACUGAAAGUCUGAGGUGUACAGUGUGAACAGAAACGGAGACAGGACAGUCCCGCGUGGUGCUCCACUGUCACUCACCACCAUCUCAGACAGAGAACUACCCAGCCAUGCAAACUGGGGUCUAUCUGUCAGGUAGUCAGUAAUCCAGGAGAUAGUGGAUUUGUCUACAACCAUCCUCUGCAGCUUCCCACUCAGAAGAAUUGGUUGGAUUGUAUUGAAGGCAAUAGAGAGAUCAAAAAAUGUGAUUCUCACAAUGCCACCAGCAUCAUCCAGGUAGGAGUGAGCUCUCCGCAACAAGUAGAUGAUGGCAUCAUCCACUCCCACAUGAGGUUGAUAGGCAAACUCAAAGACAGUCCAAUGAAGACCUUACCUGUGGUCCAAGGUAAGUCAGGACCAGCAUGCACAUGUGACAAAUAAAGCUAAUGUUUUUUUUCUUUUAAAAACAAGCAUGCAUAGUGCUUUGGCUUUGUCACUCAAGGGGAAAUAUGGAGCAACCCCCUCAAAUUUGGCUGCCUGCAGGAAUUUUCUGCAACUUACCGCAGCGGCUUCUCUGAGGGCAACAAAAGGUGCUACCGUUGUACUUAAGUGUAUGUCUGAUGAUUGCAAAAUCCUGUUAUACAUUAAGAACUCAAAGGACUGCAGGUCUACACCAUCGGCAACUUGCUCGCUGGCAGAUAAUGAAGGAGAUGUGCAAUGUGCUGCUGCCUGAGUCGACGGAGGGUUACAGUUAAAUGGCGAGUGCCUGUCAUUGUUGCUUUUCUUGCGAUCGCAAAGACCCCUUUGGACAAACAAGUUUGAUUCGCUGAUUUACUGGAUGCGAGCAGAGGCAGAUGGAGAGGGCAGGGUCCUCGCUUGCAGCCACCCAGAUUGAGGGGAUAAAGCCGUUGCACUUCACUGGGCGUGGUGUGGCACAGUGCCCAGAACAGAAUCGGAGCUGCCUUCCCAGGGUGUUGCUUGGCAGAAGACAAACACUGUUGUAGCUGACUGCAGAUUUCUUAGCAGCACCCAAUGGACCUGGACCUCAGCCUGUGGUGUCACUUGCUUUUCAGUUGCUGAAAGUGAGGCCUUCAAGCCAUCGCACUCUGCCGAGGGCUGCGACGUGCGUGGGGGGGGGGGGGGUGGGCCUCGGGACCCUUAUUACAUAAUUGUGAUUUUGUGUGUGACUGUCGGUAAUGUGUAUUUGCAUCUUGACCCCAGAGUAAUGCUGUUUCGUUUAUCUAUAUUCAUACACUAAUAGGGCUGCACUUGGGAGUAUUGUCUACGGUUUUAGGUCCCAUAUCUCAGAAAGGAGAGAGUCCAGAGGAGGUUCACAAGGAUGAUUCCAGGAAUAAUGAAAGGGUUAACAUACAAGAAGCAAUUGGCAGCUUCUCACUGUACUCACCAGAAUUUUGAAGAAUGCGGGGUUGGGGGAUCUUAGUGAAACCUACCAAAUGUUAAAAGUACUAGAUAGGAUAGAUAUUGAGAGGAUGUUUCCUAUGGUUGGGGUAUCCAGAGCUAGAGGGCACAGCCUCAAAAUUAGAACAGAGGUAAGGAGGAAAAUUUUUAGCCAGAGAGUAGCAAAUCUGUGAAAUGUUCUGCCCCAGACUGUGGUGGAGGCCAAGGGUAUAUUUAAGGCAGAAGUUAUUCGUUUCCUGAUCAGUCAGGAUAUCAAGGGAUAUGGCGAGAAGGUGGGGUGUAUGGGGUUGAGUGAGAUCCGAGAUUGGCCAUGAUGGAAUGGUGGAGCAGACUUGGUGGGCUGAAUGGCCUAAUUCUGCUCCUUGGUAUUAUAGUCUUCUGAGUAUUCAUAUAUGGUAAAAUGACCAUUAAACUGAAUUGAGUUUAAUUAGUGAUAGCAUGUAAACUGUGACCCUAACCAAAGCUUCCACGAGACCCAAUCUUGGUGCAGGUUAUAGUCAGCCAAGCUGCAUCAUUGCUCCAUGACAUUUUUCAAUCUCUCUAGCAGCACUGAUGCAUCUUACCUCCAACAACCUUCCCAGCUAAUGGAGCUUAUUUACAGGACUAAUAGGUAACUGUUCAACUCAGGUUACCUCUAUUCCAAGAUCAUUAAAAGAUGGCGCCAAUUGUUUUUGAAGACCUAGAUUACUAGUUCCAGUUCAUCUGCAAAACAGCUUAU